This 754-nucleotide ribosomal RNA is filed under the name uncultured soil bacterium. RNAcentral describes it as "bacterial SSU rRNA". It matches the Rfam family "Bacterial small subunit ribosomal RNA", at positions 30 to 765 of the family's 1533-position model. The record is from RNAcentral.
UCAACGCUGGCGGCGUGCCUAACACAUGCAAGUCGAACGCGAAAAGGGCUUCGGCUCUUAGUAGAGUGGCGAACGGGUGAGUAACACGUGGGUGACCUACCUUCGAAUGGGGGAUAACGUCCCGAAAGGGACGCUAAUACCGCAUAACAUCCUGCCUUAGAACAGGUGGAGAUCAAAGCCGGGGAUCGCAAGACCUGGCGUUUGAAGAGGGGCCCGCGUCUGAUUAGCUAGUUGGUGAGGUAACGGCCCACCAAGGCAACGAUCAGUAUCCGGCCUGAGAGGGCGGACGGACACACUGGGACUGAGACACGGCCCAGACUCCUACGGGAGGCAGCAGUGGGGAAUUGUUCGCAAUGGGCGCAAGCCUGACGACGCAACGCCGCGUGGAGGAUGAAGGUCUUCGGAUUGUAAACUCCUGUUGCCCGGGACGAAAAGCUCCGACCUAACACGUCGGAGUCUGACGGUACCGGGUGAGGAAGCCCCGGCUAACUCUGUGCCAGCAGCCGCGGUAAUACAGAGGGGGCAAGCGUUGUUCGGAAUUACUGGGCGUAAAGGGCGCGUAGGCGGCCCGCUAAGUCGAACGUGAAAUCCCCGGGCUCAACCCGGGAACUGCGUCCGAUACUGGCAGGCUUGAAUCCGGGAGAGGGAUGCGGAAUUCCAGGUGUAGCGGUGAAAUGCGUAGAUAUCUGGAGGAACACCGGUGGCGAAGGCGGCAUCCUGGACCGGUAUUGACGCUGAGGCGCGAAAGCCAGGG